RNAcentral lists this ribosomal RNA (202 nucleotides) under uncultured bacterium. RNAcentral's name for it is "partial 16S ribosomal RNA". It matches the Rfam family "Bacterial small subunit ribosomal RNA", at positions 524 to 724 of the family's 1533-position model. The record is from RNAcentral.
UACGGAGGGGGUUAGCGUUGUUCGGAAUGACUGGGCGUAAGCGCGCGUAGGCGGAGUCAGGAAGUUGGGGGGUGAAAUCCCGGGGCUCAACCCCGGAAUGGCCUUCAAAACUCCUGGUCUUGAGUUCGAGAGAGGUGAGUGGAAUUCCGAGUGUAGAGGUGAAAUUCGUAGAUAUUCGGAGGAACACCAGUGGCGAAGGCGG